Molecule: RNA transcript, 1134 nt
Organism: Nicotiana tabacum (common tobacco)
Lineage: Eukaryota; Viridiplantae; Streptophyta; Magnoliopsida; Solanales; Solanaceae
Source: RefSeq, a predicted model, not a curated record
UUCGCGUACAAACUAUCCUCUCCAGACCAUGCUUGUGAGAUUACACUGAUUUUUUUGUUGUUGUUGCUAACUUCUUGUUGUAUAUUGCAUCUAUUUUUUAGAGCCCGUUUGGAUUGAUUUGAAAAAAGUGGUUUUUUAGCAGGAAUAACUUUACGGUAUUGCUUUUGGCUUGUUUUAAGUAAUUUUUAACUUAUUUUAAGCACUUUUUAACUUUGACAAACAUUGAAAAAAGCCAAUCCAAACACACUCUUAGAAUGUGUGCCUAAGUUUGAUGUACGAUGAGAAGGAAAAGAAGGUAUAUGAGUGGUUAAUCUGAAUAAUGAAUGCUGUAGAAACUUAAACUUUGUGAUAUAUCUCUCUUUCAAAAAGUUUCAGUUCAUUGAGGUCCAGAUUUGUUAUCAAUGGAAGCAGUAAACUAACAGUUACAGUUAGAAGAGAAGCCCGCCUACUUAACUCUUUCUGUGUUCAUGCUUGCGUGUGAUGAGGCAUCUUACUGUUAUUCAGCUACUUAAGUUACUCAUCGAAGUUGUUUCUUGAGGGUUCUCAAAUGUUAUCCGAGUAUUAUGGACGAAGUCAAUGGCAGUCCCUUUUGCGCUCAGCUUCUUUUUUGUGAUACUGAGGCUAAAACAACAGAAUUAAGCCGGAUAGCUAUAUCCGCACAAGGGUAUUGACUUAGCCUUCUCAUAAAUGAACCACAGGAAUGUCCUUCAAAUGGCAAAAUAAUGACAUGGAGAUGACCAUAAGAAGCAGAAAGCUGCAGGGCAAUGGCUUCGGUCCAAGCACUACUGAGGGCGAUUCGAGCAACUUAGAUAUGGAAGAUUAUCGCCCGAUAGAUCCAGUUCCUAGCACAAAAGCUUCUAUAAGACCAGGACCUGUUGAGCAUGGUACUCCUCUUAUGCCUUACAUUCCCAGGCCUUCACCUCCUCCUAUUAGCGCCAAUGGUGGGCUCCCAUAAGCUCAUCAUUAUUCCACUUCCACUAAUCCGCUACAAGUUGGGCAAUGUAGUUCCUCCCUUUUUUUCUAAAAGAAGUUGGAAUGUAGAAACUUCAAAGAAGCGUCGUCUCUACUAUUUUCUGUUUUCCUUGUAAAAUUUUUGUUGAAAGCUUGUAUAUUACUAUGGCAUGUUAUCUGUAA